Long non-coding RNA from Papio anubis (olive baboon), 1684 nucleotides. NCBI's taxonomy places the organism in Eukaryota, Metazoa, Chordata, Mammalia, Primates, Cercopithecidae. The record is from Ensembl.
AUGCUAGAAAUGAGACUAAAGCUAAAAUUUCCAGCCCUACACCCCCAUGUGGCCUCCAGAACUCUACAUUUAGUUGCCCAGAUAUCAGCACACAUGGCUGUGAUGGAGCCAGGAGGUGGCAAAGCCUAUGGGGUAUUCACCUACCUGCUGCAUGAAGGCAACAUGGAGGGACUGGGGUGGAUUAUCUGCAAAGAUGGCCAAAAUUCUCUCAUCCUUACAGGUAUAUACAAGGUAAGAACACCUUUGAGCAGUGGAAUGUGAUGAAAAUGCUGCCCAGCCAAUUCUAGACAGGGCCUUAAGAGGUCUAGAUGCUUCCACAUUUGCUUUCUUGGGAGCUCUCUGAUCAGAAGAGUCAAUCCUGGUGAGUUUAAUGUGAGCCUCAGAAUCCUACUCAACACAAAGUUCCAGAGAGAAGAGAUUAGCAAUGCCAAUACCUUAGAGAUGGUACUGGGUGUGGAAUCCGUCCUCCCUUGACUAGAGAACAGAAGUGGCAGUGUCUGCAUCUGGUAUUAGCAUUCUUUAUUUAGUUCAACAAAGUCACAUGGAGACAAUAUGUUACAUCCUGACUUUAAACAUUAGUUCAGAGAAGAAAAGAUGCUGAGAUCCCUUCCUCACUUAUCCAUGACUACAUAACAAACCACUACCAAACUUUGUGUCCUAACAACAAUGACUUAUUAUUUUGCACAGCCUUGUGGAUAAUGAGCUUAGGGUGCCGGUGGGGGAGACUGGUGGUUCUCACAUGAUAACUCCCUUGACCAGGUGAUCUCUAAGUUCCUUUCCAAUUUUAAUGUUUUCUGUUCUGAUUUAUCUUUUGGUAUUGUGCAGGUAUCAGGAGAAAAAAAAAUGCCACUGUCUCUCUUUAAUUCCUUUAUCAUUAGGUCAUACCCUUUCCCAACUCCCAAUCCAGUUUUCUUACGGCAAUACCUUGGUUUUUGCUUUGUGAAGAUGCCAGAGUCAGUCAAAACUAAGCUCACCGUCCUUGCUAAUAUUCUACCCCAGAGGAGAACUAAAGCUCAGCUAUUCACCCCUACAGAAAGCCUGAAUUUUGUAAAUGUUCUGCUUAGAAUGAGGAAGAAAGGUGAAGAAGGAGGAGGAUGAAGGGAGGAAUGAGAGAGAGGUAAAGCCAACGAGCAGAGCAGACCUACAUUUGCAGCAUCUCCAAGUUUCUGCAACAGCUUUAUGUUGUUGUUAUGUUUUGUUUUAAAAAAAGUAAAUACCAUUUUUUUCUUUACUGUUAUAUUCUUUUCAUAAGAGCUCAGCUAAAGACAGAUAAUGCUGGAGUCAGCUUUUUCUAAGAAUUAAUCUCUUCAAACUGGCCAUAGAGAUUUGGUAGAAGUCAUGGGUUUUAAUUGAAUUUCUCCUAACGGUCUCCAAGGGAUGGAACAUGACUGAUACAGGCUGACUUUCCCUCUCCCCUUGGUGAAGCUGUAUUGCCUCCCACAGAACAGACCGUUCUUUAUGUUCUAACCGGGCUUUUCAUAACUCCACUGGAGAGCUGUGCAAACCCUAGACUUGGCAAAGGCUUUUUUGUUUUCUGAAGCCAGACCAAUUCUGGACUCAGUUCCUGCUUUCUAGGAAGAAAUAGCACAUGCAUCCAGCCUCUUCCCUGAUGAAAAAAUACCUCACUCCUUUUUAGACAACUUCUCGUAUUGAUAAUUUUAUAGAAAUACACUGUAUGAGUGAA